RNAcentral lists this ribosomal RNA (309 nucleotides) under uncultured bacterium. Its description in RNAcentral is "partial 16S ribosomal RNA". It matches the Rfam family "Bacterial small subunit ribosomal RNA", at positions 504 to 808 of the family's 1533-position model. The record is from RNAcentral.
AGAGACAGCAGUCGCCCGGGAAUACGUAGGGUGCAAGCGUUAAUCGGAAUUACUGGGCGUAAAGCGUGCGCAGGCGGUUAUGUAAGACAGUUGUGAAAUCCCCGGGCUCAACCUGGGAACUGCAUCUGUGACUGCAUAGCUAGAGUACGGUAGAGGGGGAUGGAAUUCCGCGUGUAGCAGUGAAAUGCGUAGAUAUGCGGAGGAACACCGAUGGCGAAGGCAAUCCCCUGGACCUGUACUGACGCUCAUGCACGAAAGCGUGGGGAGCAAACAGGAUUAGAUACCCCAGUAGUCCCUGUCUCUUAUACA